GCCGAGAGGGCAAGAUGCCGAACGUCCUUUAUUGACGUGAUCGCCUCCUUGGAGAUGGGAAUGCCACCUCUGAAAGGACUCGCCAGCAGCCUUCAUGGAGCCUGGCCUGCCAGCAUCCUGAAUCCUAGCAGCCUCCGCCCCCCACUGGCUGUUUCCUAGGAAGCCACUCACCCAGUCGGAGGAAACAAGCCAAGCUAACCCUGGACAAGGGAGGGGGUGAGGACAGCAAGUUUCCAGAGAGUGUCCUGCUUGGAGCAGAGUACAGACAAAAUGGACCUGUGGAGGAGCUAGGAUUACCAGAGGGCCCAGAAUGAAGACUCCAAGGGGUUCUUUGACAUAGGGAAGGCCUACUGGGAGAGAGUGGAGCUCUUCAGAGACAAGACUCAGCUUACCAGUGAUGUAAGUGGGAGCAAGGCAUCAGUGGACCAGGGACCAUAAACCCACCCAGGGACAUUUUGAAGCACAGAGAAGAGGCCAGCAGAGGCCAGCUUCCAUAUGUCCAAGUGUUUGAAAGUUAAGCCAUCAAACUAGCAAAGUCUCCAAUCUCUUCCCCUGACUUGACAGACAUCUUCAUGACAUCCUGAAGGUCAAGUGUGAAUUGAGAAUUUGGAGUCACAAGAAUUCCAGAUGGCAUGUGGUGGCCCAGGCUGGGUUCAGCCCCUAACCCUACCUAGUACUAGAAGAGAUCUUUAAAUUUGUAAAAUUACGUUCCUA
Molecule: long non-coding RNA, 714 nt
Organism: Mesocricetus auratus (golden hamster)
Lineage: Eukaryota; Metazoa; Chordata; Mammalia; Rodentia; Cricetidae
Exons: 3
Source: RefSeq, a predicted model, not a curated record